AGUGAACGCUGGCGGUAGGCCUAACACAUGCAAGUCGAACGGCAGCACAGUAAGAGCUUGCUCUUACGGGUGGCGAGUGGCGGACGGGUGAGGAAUACAUCGGAAUCUACUUUUUCGUGGGGGAUAACGUAGGGAAACUUACGCUAAUACCGCAUACGACCUACGGGUGAAAGCAGGGGAUCUUCGGACCUUGCGCGAUUGAAUGAGCCGAUGUCGGAUUAGCUAGUUGGCGGGGUAAAGGCCCACCAAGGCGACGAUCCGUAGCUGGUCUGAGAGGAUGAUCAGCCACACUGGAACUUAGACACGGUCCAGAGUCCUACGGGAGGCAGCAGUGGGGAAUAGUGGACAAUGGGCGCAAGCCUGAUCCAGCCAUACCGCGUGGGUGAAGAAGGCCUUCGGGUUGUAAAGCCCUUUUGUUGGGAAAGAAAAGCAGCAGGUUAAUACCCCGCUGUUCUGACGGUACCCAAAGAAUAAGCACCGGCUAACUUCGUG
This 492-nucleotide ribosomal RNA is filed under the name uncultured bacterium. RNAcentral's name for it is "partial 16S ribosomal RNA". It matches the Rfam family "Bacterial small subunit ribosomal RNA", at positions 29 to 507 of the family's 1533-position model. The record is from RNAcentral.